This 301-nucleotide ribosomal RNA is filed under the name uncultured bacterium. RNAcentral describes it as "partial 16S ribosomal RNA". It matches the Rfam family "Bacterial small subunit ribosomal RNA", at positions 509 to 807 of the family's 1533-position model. The record is from RNAcentral.
CAGCCGCCGCGGGAAUACGAAGGGUGCAAGCGUUAAUCGGAAUUACUGGGCGUAAAGGGUGCGUAGGCGGUUGUUUAGGUCUGUUGUGAAAUCCCCGGGCUCAACCUGGGAAUGGCAAUGGAAACUGGACGGCUAGAGUGUGUCAGAGGAUGGUGGAAUUCCCGGUGUAGCGGUGACAUGCGUAGAGAUCAGGAGGAAUACCGGUGGCGAAGGCGGCCCCCUGGACGAAGACUGACGCUCAGGUGCGAAAGCGUGGGGAGCAAACAGGAUUAGAUACCCCCGUAGUCCCUGUCUCUUAUAC